Molecule: ribosomal RNA, 485 nt
Filed under: uncultured bacterium
Lineage: Bacteria
Description: bacterial SSU rRNA
Rfam family: Bacterial small subunit ribosomal RNA
Source: RNAcentral
UCCACGCCCUAAACGAUGUCAACUAGGUGUUGGGGAAGGAGACUUCUUUAGUACCGCAGCUAACGCGUGAAGUUGACCGCCUGGGGAGUACGGUCGCAAGAUUAAAACUCAAAGGAAUUGACGGGGACCCGCACAAGCGGUGGAUUAUGUGGAUUAAUUCGAUGCAACGCGAAAAACCUUACCUACCCUUGACAUGUCAGGAAGAUUCCAGAGAUGGGAUUGUGCCCGAAAGGGAACCUGAACACAGGUGCUGCAUGGCUGUCGUCAGCUCGUGUCGUGAGAUGUUGGGUUAAGUCCCGCAACGAGCGCAACCCUCGUCCUUAGUUGCCUAGCAGGUUAAGCUGGGCACUCUAGGGAGACUGCCUUCGUAAGGAGGAGGAAGGUGAGGACGACGUCAAGUCAUCAUGGCCCUUACGGCCAGGGCUACACACGUGCUACAAUGGGGCGUACAGAGUGUUGCAAUACCGCGAGGUGGAGCCAAUCAC